This 394-nucleotide transfer-messenger RNA is filed under the name Patescibacteria group. RNAcentral describes it as "GWA2-43-13 sp000999025 Standard tmRNA". It matches the Rfam family "transfer-messenger RNA". From Rfam's summary of the family: Bacterial tmRNA, also known as 10Sa RNA or SsrA, is named for its dual tRNA and mRNA-like properties. Its role is to liberate the mRNA from a stalled ribosome. RNAcentral also lists the same sequence under 2 other names. The record is from RNAcentral.
GGGGAUGGUAUUAUUCGAUAAGCAGAUUGUUUCAUAUUUUGGCCAUUCGAGCGUGGUUGAUCGCUCGUUAAUCUCUUAACCAAGCCGACAAAUGCCAAGAAUCUUGUCGCGCGCGUGAAAUCAGCUUUUGCUGGUUUUUCAUUCGCACCAGCUGUCGCCUAAACAGUGACAUGCCGUCAGCUUCGCGAGUCACCAUAGCGAAUCACUGGCGCCAACCAUGGUGAUUGGAAAGUGCUUGUCAUCGUGGCGCUUUUGACCCCUUGAUCGGUGAUAGCGGAAAUGUUUUUUUGAACAUCUUUAACCAUUUUCCGCAAAAUUUUAAAGAUGCUCUCUGAUGGCACACCAAAAAUGAAACACUGUUUAGACGCGGGUGAAAUUCCCGCCAUCUCCACGA